This 253-nucleotide ribosomal RNA is filed under the name uncultured bacterium. RNAcentral's name for it is "partial 16S ribosomal RNA". It matches the Rfam family "Bacterial small subunit ribosomal RNA", at positions 524 to 776 of the family's 1533-position model. The record is from RNAcentral.
UACAGAGGUCUCAAGCGUUGUUCGGAUUCAUUGGGCGUAAAGGGUGCGUAGGCGGCGCGGUAAGUCGGGUGUGAAAUCUCGGAGCUUAACUCCGAAACUGCAUUCGAUACUGCCGUGCUUGAGGACUGGAGAGGAGACUGGAAUUUACGGUGUAGCGGUGAAAUGCGUAGAUAUCCGGAGGAACACCAGUGGCGAAGGCGACACGCUGGGCCAUACCUGACGCUAAAGCGCGACAGCAUGGGGAGCAAACGGG